RNAcentral lists this transfer RNA (78 nucleotides) under Salmonella enterica subsp. enterica serovar Heidelberg str. N4496. RNAcentral's name for it is "tRNA-OTHER". It matches the Rfam family "tRNA". From Rfam's summary of the family: Transfer RNA (tRNA) molecules are approximately 80 nucleotides in length. Their secondary structure includes four short double-helical elements and three loops (D, anti-codon, and T loops). Further hydrogen bonds mediate the characteristic L-shaped molecular structure. tRNAs have two regions of fundamental functional importance: the anti-codon, which is responsible for specific mRNA codon recognition, and the 3' end, to which the tRNAs corresponding amino acid is attached (by aminoacyl-tRNA synthetases). tRNAs cope with the degeneracy of the genetic code in two manners: having more than one tRNA (with a specific anti-codon) for a particular amino acid; and 'wobble' base-pairing, i.e. permitting non-standard base-pairing at the 3rd anti-codon position. Lineage: Bacteria; Pseudomonadati; Pseudomonadota; Gammaproteobacteria; Enterobacterales; Enterobacteriaceae. The record is from RNAcentral.
GGCUACGUAGCUCAGUUGGUUAGAGCACAUCACCUCAUAAUGAUGGGGUCACAGGUUCGAAUCCCGUCGUAGCCACCA